UUCCUGCCCUUGUGGUGUGGGAGCAGCAUGGGCUCAAACUCCAGAACACAGAGGAGCCCCGGUGAGGGCAGGUUCUGCAGAGCUGGGCACUGAGCUGCAUGGGGACCCAGAACGAGACUGAGCCGAGUGGUGUGGCUGGCAGGAAGGAGUCUGAGCCGUGCAGAAGCCAUACCUGCACCUCCCUCCUGGAGCUGAUGUAAUGGAGGAGCUUCAUUCGUGGUCCUAAGGGAAUUCCCAUCUCUUCAAGGUUUCUCUCUGCGCACAAGAACUAGGAAGUAAGCAAAGCAGACAUUAGCAUGCACCGCUCUGCUCCUGUGCAGUCAGACCUUUGUUCUUUGUCCUUCUGUUCCUGCUGUGCUAAGAGACAUUUUGUUGUGCAGGUGAUUCACGCACCCAGGGAGGGAGGACUGGGAAGAAGAACUAAGAAACGUAAGGACAGCAAAACAGCAGAGCUGCUCACCAGCGCUUCCCCAUCUAUUUUCUCCUUCUCGAAAACAGGACAGUACUCUGACAGAUCCAACUUCUUCAGGAUUUCUUUUACUUCCUCAGCACCUCUGCUGCUUGAAGUCACCUCAGUCCCCUGCAAACAGAGCCCCCAGGGAUCCUGCUUUUUGCUCAUUCAUUUCUCUUGGUGCAUUUCAGAAUUUCUCCUCCUUCCCCAGUGCAGCUCAGCUGCCAUGCAGGUGCAUGGGAACAGCCGUGCUCAGCUGCAGAGCUCGUACCUCCCUGCUGUGCUCGUCCUCGGGAGCAGCCUUCUGGUUUGUCAGGAGAUCAAACAGAAUGAGGGACCCUAGAAACCAGGGCAGAGCAUCAGUGACUCGUUAAGGAAAAAAAAAACCUGAGUGCUUCCCUUCUGGGCUGGAAGGACCAGGACUGUCCCUGCUCAACACAAUGGGGACAUCCAUGGGACCUUACCCAAGCUGUGACCCGCAAUGGAAACCCCUCCUUUAAAGUCCGGGUUCCUCUGCAGGAAGAGCAGGUAGAGGCGGUUCAUUUCCGAGGCCACCGUGUCCAGGAUGGUCUGGCAAUAGGUGGAGCUGUUGUAGAAGAAAGCAUCCAGGAUGGUGUCGUUGAUGAAGUGACGCAGGCGGCUGAUGCUGGGCAAAGUGAUUCUCUCCAGGUCCCUGCGGGGGCGAAAAAGAGGAGAGGAAACUGCAGUCCGAGGUGCUCCAUGAGCCCAACCACAUCUCUAAGGCAAAGCUUAAGUGGAGAGGAGGACGGCUGCCACCCUGAUGUUCUAACCCAGAUUCUUCACUGGAGAGCAAAGCAGAGUGCCCAGGAGCCCCCAUGUAGGAGUGUGAGAGCCCCUUCUCUCCCAGCAGCAGCAAAGGGAAGGCAGCAGCCUCCCAGGGCUGCGGGCACUUACACGUCCACGCCGGUGGAGUGCAGGGAGCUGUGCCAAUUGACGGGCAGGAAUUCCACCCGGCCGAUCUGCUGCUGCUCCUGUGCCUUCCUGAAGUGUGCUUGCAGCAUGCUCAGGGAAACGCUCCUGAAGUCGUUGACUGGAAAAAGGCAUGAACUCUUAGCAAAGCAGCAGGGCUGCAGGGCAAGGCUUCUGCAUCAACAACGCUUAAUAAGAUAAAAGAAAAGAUCAUUACCGGGGGAAAUCCCAGCAGGGUCUUUAAUCUGCUGCUGCCACCCUAAGACCUUGAAUCUUUAACUACAAGCUCAAGGGAAGCUCCAUGUCCUUACAUGUGUGUUUACUGGACUUUGCUGCCCCGUCUGUGACAAGCCUCCUGCCCCACGUGCAGCGCUUUAACACAGCACACGGGGCAAGAAAAGCCCUCUUAGGAGUUCAAAUGGAAAAACAAAUGCUGUGAAGAUGCCUGUUUUAGAAGGGGAACCCUAUGGGAGAGGAUCGCUCCGCUCUGAGAAGGGAGAGUUUGAUUUCCAUGAUUGUAAUUGGGCAGCCCUGAAAACAGUAGUGCCAGAUGAGCGUAUGGAAGAACGGACUGCAUCAAAGCAGACGUAUUCAGCUCCUGGGCCAUAGCUCAGCAGGUUCAGACAGCUGGAAAAUCCAUAUCCAGUUUGGGAAGCCCCGUGGUGAGCAGCAGCAGAAUGCAGUGAUGAAAAGCGGUUGCCCAAACCUUUCCAGACAGUGGGAUUUCAUGGGUUAGUGAGCAUUUAUUCACGCUCCCCACUGCAGUCAGCAAAUCCGACCACGCAGCCUGCCCAGAUGAGCGCCAGGGUGGUUUGAAUGCGCUCUGACAGCGUUUCUCAUUGUCCACGCUGAGCAUUUACCCUCUGCUCAAAGCAGCCUAUGGAUGGGAGGAGCAGCCCUGCCUGUCCCACCUACCGCACUGCACGAUGCUCCUGAAGCGGAUGUCGCACGCCGGGCCGAUCCCAUGCACCACAAAAACCAGGUGGUCGAUCUGCAGAGGUUCUCCUGGGGACAGAAAGAGGUCGGAGCUCAGACCCAGGGGGUCCCUGAAAAGAAAGGGACUGACCCAGCGACCCCACCUGCAGCUCUGGCAGGCACCAGGUGGGGCAACGUUCUGUUCUUUGCUUCCCACACACUUCAGUUUGCAUAAGUGCUUUCCCAAGUGGAAAAUGAAGGGGUUAGACAGGAAGACGUGCCUGUCCUCACCGCUGGGACAGCUCACGCAAUGCUGGGCCAGGGCUGGGGGAGGGCAGCAGCAGGCAGACGCCAGCACGGAGCUGAGAGCUGUGCUCCCUUCGUGCUAUGGGCGGCUGCAGGGGAGGCAGAGGCACUACUCACCGUUGGGGAUCUCAGCUGCAAUGUUCUCUACUCCCCUCUUCACGGUCCGAGGUCGCCCUUGUUCUGUAGGAGUUGAGCCCCAGUCGUCGGAGGUGGCAGCGGGGUGGUAGUGCACCAUCAGCUGCGGGCAAGGAGGGCUGAUCACUGUGCUGCACUGUGUGCUGGAGCUGAGAACGUCCCCGCGCUCCCAGGAGGGCCAGAGGGAGGCAUUCAUGGCCAAAGGAUGGCCCUGCCCGGCCACCGGGCUCUGCUCACCUUGGGGUUGUGUAAGAUGAUGACUUCCCUGCUUGGGGACUCCAACUUCUUCUUCCACUCAUCCAGGGUCACAGCAAUCAUGUACGCUUCCUGAGGAAAAGGACGUCCUCUCUGAGUCAGCUGAGGGUACCCCAUGAAUAUUCAACUGCUUCAGACAUUUCCCACCCAUUUUAAGCGUCACUCUGUGAAAGAGGCACAGAAAUCCUCCAGGCCGAACUGGUGAGGCUGCAGGAUUAUCUCCGUAUCGCCUGCUAAAGUUCCCCAAAAGCCCCUGUUGGAAUAGCAGCAGAAGGCUUCCCUACCAGUCGGGUAUUUUCAUACAUUAGAAUGCAGAUGACUGUAAAUACGUACACACAGCUCAGCAAAGAAAGCCCCCAGCCUUUACAGCAGGGACCAGCAGGCGUCCCGUGGCUCCCUGCAGCAGUAAGAACUACUUCUUGCAUUCGCAAAGCUGUGAGCAGAGUGAGGGUGAGGCUGUCCUGUAUGACAGCAAGAACCGAACCGCAGCGGUACCAGGCAGGGUCAGGGGGAAACACAGAACAGAACAGAGACAGCAGGGAGAGGCUGCAGGAUGGGCCAGAGCUGCACGGCUGGCGGAGAACAAACAGGCAUUGAGCAGAACGCUCUGGAUGGGGCGGAAGGGGAGGCAGGGCAGUAUUUAGUUAUGUUAAUCAGCCGUGAAAACGCCGUGCCAAAGCGUGCCAAAGCCUCUUGUGAGUUCAUGUCCUCAGGUGCAACAGCAGCGCCGGCGGCCCCAUAUGGAGUUUGGGACGUCAGGGAAGCAACGAGAAGCAGGGGGGGGGCUGUUGGUGAGCUGUGCGCUCCCAGGGUGUGCUCACCUCCAGCUCCUCGCUGAAGCUCUCCGAGUAGGGGACGUAUUUGUUGUCCUUGUCCCCUUUGUAGAACCAGGUGCAGCGGCGCACCUCGGACACCUCCUCCUCCCAGAACACCGCCACGCGCUGCCUCUGCUUCAGGUGCACGUCGUACCUCCCGCCCGACGUCGGGACAACCACGUCUCCUUUGUCCUUCCCUGGGGAACCAAAGACCAGAAUGAGUCCUUUGAGGGCAAGAAAGGUGAGCCGCCGGGAUACCGUGCGCCGACCCAGAGAGAGGAGACUGCAGCACCUCUGCAGGUGCACAGCAUGAGAGAGCAGCAGCAGCAACCAGCAGAGCUGUCCGUGCGCACAGAGGACUGCGCUGGAGAGCAGCCCGGGGGAGAUGCCCGAAGCCAAACAUCCCCAGGGGCAGCAGGUGAGAGGAAAGCACUGAGCUGUAAGCAGCCGCCUCCCUCCUGGCUUUGGGCACAGCCUUUCAGGGGCUCUCCCUGCCUGUGCUGAGGUGGCAACGUGUGAAAUGGUGGGCCUGGGACCCAGCAGGGGUGCAGAUCUCCGGAACUGAGAGCUGCUCGGAUCCCAGCGCAGCCUCCACUGCCUGCCCUCCCUGUGCUGUCACAGUGAAGCAGCAGUUUCCCUCGGGACAGAUCUCCCUGCUGCCAUUUCUGCCCUCCUGCUCACACUCUCGUUUCCCCUACGAAGAUGCUUUGCAACGCAAUGAUGUAUAAUUUACAGCACGUGCCAAAUUAACGAGGCCGGACCUUACGCUGCCUCCUCCACCCUCGCUGUCCGUGCCCUUACAGCUCCAGCAGUGGGUACAGUGCCACCGAGCGCAGGUCUCUAUUACAGAUUCCAAAGGGGGAAUGAUGCAACCCAAGCAGGAGCUGUGGGCUUUCCCUUUGCUGCUUGCAGCGUGCAUCACCGCCCUGCUCUCCCCCCCCGGGCACACACCUGAUGCUUCCCAUUGACCUCACCGGGCCGGUUCCCCAUCACACACGCAGGGCAUGAGGUGUUUACAGCAGAAGGCCACUGAAGCACAGCCCUGACGUGGGCUGAAGGCAGUGGGUGCAGCACCAUCCCCGCGUCCGGUCGCAUCGGCUGCACGCAGGACGCGAUGGAGGCAGCGGGGGGGGGUGCGGACGGAUCCCCUACCUGCACCGUGAGCCUCCUCCAGCCGCUCCGAGUCCUGAGUGCUGAACGGCAGCCACCGCUCCCGCCCGCCGGUCACCUUGCAGUAAAACCAAUGCGGAGCGACCGCUUCGUACCCAUUCCCCGCGUCCCACUCCGCAGCGUCGGGGGCGGCCCGGGAGGGCAGCGCCGGGGGCCGCUCCUGGGCAGACAUGAUGCUCCUGGACAAAGGGGAAGGACGGACGGAUGGAGGGACGGACGGACGGACGCACCCGCGGAUCGCCGCACCCACCCGCAACGCGCGGCGGGGCACAGCGCGCAGCCCACCGCCCGCACCCGGAGGCCGCGCUCCGCUCCCCGCCGCGCCCGCGCGUCCCUCCGCGCCCCCGGACGGACACCUCGAGGCCGUCGGCGGCCGCUCACCCCCAGCAGAAGGGACUGCCCAUGGAAGCAGCAGCAGCGUCAGCCCCGUGUGGCAUUCGGACCUGCCCGGGUGGUGCUCACACGACAGACCACAGGGGAUGCUGCAGGGCCGACUGCAGCCAUCUCACAUCUGCUCCCCUUGGCUGCAGUGGCACUCACAUGCACCAGCUUUUGCAAGAGCAAAUCCCAGACCUCGUUGAGAUCCUGCCCAAAAGGAAUGCGAGGCUUUGUGCCAACAGCUGUGCCAGUGCAAUAGAAAACAGAGGAAGAAAUGGACUUUGGUAACUCCUUGGUAAUCCCAGUUCCUUCCCACUCCCAGGGAUUCCUCGGUGUGCUGAGUGCUGCAUGUGACCUCAGACACAUCCAAAGAGCUGCAAAGGUCAACCCAUGCACACACUCCACCGCUGCCCUGCAGGCUGCCCUGAGGGUGGCAGCCAGCAGUAAAUCCCUUCCAAAACACAGCCAGCAGUCCUGGAGUGGGACUGCAGCACUCAGAGUGUGCACUGCCCCCCAGCAGCACCCAACGAGAGCUCCAUGUGCCACACUACCCCUAAGCCCCACCUGCUGCUACAGCCCGGCCGGGCUCUGCCUGCAGGCGGCUGUAAGCUGAGCAAUCUGUACACAACUUCCCCUUAAAAACAAAACAAAACAAAAAGAGACUUUGAGAGACUUAAUUACAAAAUAACAUUUAAAAGUCAUUGGGGUUUAUUAUCUCAUUACGCACAGCAAUGAUUCGCUUCACGUGUUGUAACCAGAAGGUUAACAGUAGGCAUUACAAUUAAAAAGUGGAUUUGA
Molecule: long non-coding RNA, 6153 nt
Organism: Gallus gallus (chicken)
Lineage: Eukaryota; Metazoa; Chordata; Aves; Galliformes; Phasianidae
Exons: 3
Source: RefSeq, a predicted model, not a curated record